RNAcentral lists this ribosomal RNA (253 nucleotides) under uncultured bacterium. Its description in RNAcentral is "partial 16S ribosomal RNA". It matches the Rfam family "Bacterial small subunit ribosomal RNA", at positions 524 to 776 of the family's 1533-position model. The record is from RNAcentral.
UACAGAGGGUGCGAGCGUUGUUCGGAAUUAUUGGGCGUAAAGGGCGCGUAGGCGGUGCGGUAAGUCACCUGUGAAAUCUCCUGGCUCAACUGGGAGCUUGCAGGCGAAACUGCCGUGCUGGAGUGUGGGAGAGGUGCGUGGAAUUCCUGGUGUAGCGGUGAAAUGCGUAGAUAUCAGGAGGAACACCGGUGGCGAAGGCGGGUCUCUGGGCAGUAACUGACGCUGAGGAGCGAAAGCGUGGGGAGCAAACAGG